GUGGGGAAUAUUGGACAAUGGGCGCAAGCCUGAUCCAGCCAUGCCGCGUGAGUGAUGAAGGCCUUAGGGUUGUAAAGCUCUUUCAGUAGGGAAGAUAAUGACGGUACCUACAGAAGAAGCCCCGGCUAACUUCGUGCCAGCAGCCGCGGUAAUACGAAGGGGGCUAGCGUUGUUCGGAUUUACUGGGCGUAAAGUGCACGUAGGCGGAUCGUUAAGUCGGGGGUGAAAUCCUGGAGCUCAACUCCAGAACUGCCUUCGAUACUGGCGAUCUUGAGUCCGGAAGAGGUGAGUGGAACUCCUAGUGUAGAGGUGGAAUUCGUAGAUAUUAGGAAGAACACCAGUGGCGAAGGCGGCUCACUGGUCCGGUACUGACGCUGAGGUGCGAAAGCGUGGGGAGCAAACAGGAUUAGAUACCCUAGUAGUCC
This 425-nucleotide ribosomal RNA is filed under the name uncultured bacterium. RNAcentral's name for it is "partial 16S ribosomal RNA". It matches the Rfam family "Bacterial small subunit ribosomal RNA", at positions 354 to 796 of the family's 1533-position model. The record is from RNAcentral.